GACGAACGCUGGCGGCGUGCUUAACACAUGCCAGUCGAACGGAAAGGCCUCUUUCGGGGGGUACUCGAGUGGCGAACGGGUGAGUAACACGUGAGUAACCUGCCCUUGACUUUGGGAUAACUUCAGGAAACUGGGGCUAAUACCGGAUAGGAGCUCCUGCUGCAUGGUGGGGGUUGGAAAGUUUCGGCGGUUGGGGAUGGACUCGCGGCUUAUCAGCUUGUUGGUGGGGUAGUGGCUUACCAAGGCUUUGACGGGUAGCCGGCCUGAGAGGGUGACCGGCCACAUUGGGACUGAGAUACGGCCCAGACUCCUACGGGAGGCAGCAGUGGGGAAUAUUGCACAAGGGGUGGAAGCCUGAUGCAGCAACGCCGUGUGCGGGAUGACGGCCUUCGGGUUGUAAACCGCUUUCGCUCAUGACGAAGCUUUGUGUGACGGUAGUGGGUAAAGAAGCACCGGCUAACUACGUG
This 467-nucleotide ribosomal RNA is filed under the name uncultured bacterium. Its description in RNAcentral is "partial 16S ribosomal RNA". It matches the Rfam family "Bacterial small subunit ribosomal RNA", at positions 28 to 507 of the family's 1533-position model. The record is from RNAcentral.